UUAAUGCUCCCUCCGUUCAACAAAAAAUGUCUCAAAUUUGUUAACAUUUCGGUGUAUUUAAACAUGACUUAGUAUAUACAUGCAUUCAAAUUUAGUCAAAAUUAAGACAUCUUUUGUUGGACGGAGGAAAUAACAG
Non-coding RNA from Brachypodium distachyon (stiff brome), 136 nucleotides. NCBI's taxonomy places the organism in Eukaryota, Viridiplantae, Streptophyta, Magnoliopsida, Poales, Poaceae. The record is from Rfam.